GUCCCCGUAGUUUAAUGGAUAAAACGAGCCCCUCCUAAGGGCUAGAUCUUGGUUCGAUUCCAGGUGGGGAUACCA
RNAcentral lists this transfer RNA (75 nucleotides) under Paraglaciecola mesophila. RNAcentral's name for it is "tRNA-Arg". It matches the Rfam family "tRNA". Rfam says of the family: Transfer RNA (tRNA) molecules are approximately 80 nucleotides in length. Their secondary structure includes four short double-helical elements and three loops (D, anti-codon, and T loops). Further hydrogen bonds mediate the characteristic L-shaped molecular structure. tRNAs have two regions of fundamental functional importance: the anti-codon, which is responsible for specific mRNA codon recognition, and the 3' end, to which the tRNAs corresponding amino acid is attached (by aminoacyl-tRNA synthetases). tRNAs cope with the degeneracy of the genetic code in two manners: having more than one tRNA (with a specific anti-codon) for a particular amino acid; and 'wobble' base-pairing, i.e. permitting non-standard base-pairing at the 3rd anti-codon position. RNAcentral also lists the same sequence under 17 other names. Lineage: Bacteria; Pseudomonadati; Pseudomonadota; Gammaproteobacteria; Alteromonadales; Alteromonadaceae. The record is from RNAcentral.